CUACGGGUCGCAGCAGUGGGGAAUAUUGCACAAUGGGCGCAAGCCUGAUGCAGCAACGCCGCGUGAGGGACGAAGGCCUUCGGGUUGUAAACCUCUUUUAGCAGGGAAGAAGCGAAAGUGACGGUACCUGCAGAAAAAGCACCGGCUAACUACGUGCCAGCAGCCGCGGUAAUACGUAGGGUGCAAGCGUUGUCCGGAAUUAUUGGGCGUAAAGAGCUCGUAGGCGGUUUGUCACGUCUGCUGUGAAAAGCCAAGGCUCAACCUUGGACUUGCAGUGGGUACGGGCAGGCUAGAGUGCGGUAGGGGAGAUGGGAAUUCCUGGUGUAGCGGUGGAAUGCGCAGAUAUCAGGAGGAACACCAAUGGCGAAGGCACAUCUCUGGGCCGUAACUGACGCUGAGGAGCGAAAGCGUGGGGAGCGAACAGGAUUAGAUACCCGCGUAGUC
RNAcentral lists this ribosomal RNA (444 nucleotides) under uncultured bacterium. RNAcentral describes it as "partial 16S ribosomal RNA". It matches the Rfam family "Bacterial small subunit ribosomal RNA", at positions 339 to 795 of the family's 1533-position model. The record is from RNAcentral.